Acanthosepion pharaonis is the source of this 111-nucleotide non-coding RNA. Lineage: Eukaryota; Metazoa; Mollusca; Cephalopoda; Sepiida; Sepiidae. The record is from the annotation of a GenBank genome assembly.
CAGUGAUAUCAUGUUGAAACAAUGAUUCCCAUGUGAUCACCCAAGUUAAGCUAUGUUGAGCCUAGUCAGUACCUAGAUGGGUAACUGCUUGGAAAUACCAGGUACUGUAAG